Molecule: non-coding RNA, 79 nt
Filed under: uncultured Alistipes sp.
Lineage: Bacteria; Pseudomonadati; Bacteroidota; Bacteroidia; Bacteroidales; Rikenellaceae
Description: TPP riboswitch (THI element)
Rfam family: TPP riboswitch aptamer (THI element)
About the family: Vitamin B(1) in its active form thiamin pyrophosphate (TPP) is an essential coenzyme that is synthesised by coupling of pyrimidine and thiazole moieties in bacteria. The previously detected thiamin-regulatory element, thi box was extended, resulting in a new, highly conserved RNA secondary structure, the THI element, which is widely distributed in eubacteria and also occurs in some archaea.
Source: RNAcentral
UACAAAGGGGUGCCCGCACGGGCUGAGAUCAUACCCUCGAACCUGAUGCAGUUAAUGCUGACGUAGGAAUUGUGUAUAU